Molecule: ribosomal RNA, 510 nt
Filed under: Alternaria solani
Lineage: Eukaryota; Fungi; Ascomycota; Dothideomycetes; Pleosporales; Pleosporaceae
Description: eukaryotic LSU rRNA
Rfam family: 5.8S ribosomal RNA (bases 156-309)
Source: RNAcentral
AAGGCGGGCUGGACCUCUCGGGGUUACAGCCUUGCUGAAUUAUUCACCCUUGUCUUUUGCGUACUUCUUGUUUCCUUGGUGGGUUCGCCCACCACUAGGACAAACAUAAACCUUUUUGUAAUUGCAAUCAGCGUCAGUAACAAAUUAAUAAUUACAACUUUCAACAACGGAUCUCUUGGUUCUGGCAUCGAUGAAGAACGCAGCGAAAUGCGAUAAGUAGUGUGAAUUGCAGAAUUCAGUGAAUCAUCGAAUCUUUGAACGCACAUUGCGCCCUUUGGUAUUCCAAAGGGCAUGCCUGUUCGAGCGUCAUUUGUACCCUCAAGCUUUGCUUGGUGUUGGGCGUCUUGUCUCUAGCUUUGCUGGAGACUCGCCUUAAAGUAAUUGGCAGCCGGCCUACUGGUUUCGGAGCGCAGCACAAGUCGCACUCUCUAUCAGCAAAGGUCUAGCAUCCAUUAAGCCUUUUUUUCAACUUUUGACCUCGGAUCAGGUAGGGAUACCCGCUGAACUUAA